CCCCCCGACUUACCUAGAGACAAUCCAGGAGUGCCCUCGGCCCCGCCCACAAACCCAACUCUGAGUCUGAUUGGACGGCAACAAAGGGAGGCUCCGCCUAUAGUUCCAGGAUAACGCCCUCCGCCCCCUCUCUACUAGAACUUUUUUCUGGUUCCUCCCAGACGAGGCCCCCGUGUGGUCGCGUUGGGGUGGAGGGGGUGGGGUCUCGGUGGAGGAGAAAGAUGGGAGCUUAGCUCCUGGGAACUGGCGUGGAAGAUGGCUGGGGACUUGGUCUUGGGUCUGAUGGAGGAGGCGUGCGGACCCCUGGGUCCCUGCUUGAGGCCCCAACAGCACCCGGCGCCCUGGCUCCGUCGGCCUGUGCAUCUCAGCCAGGUGGCCCUGCCACGCCGAAGGGACCCGGGUUCCCAGUCUAUCCUUCUAGGACAGGAGACCCGCCCCAGAGCUCUCCUCUCGGGAAGCCAAAACUGAGAAUCUGACCGGAGAAAAGGAAUCCGAUAUUUAGACAACCAGAUAAAUCUUUAUUUAAGCCUUGGUGCUGUGGCCUUUUCCUCGUUCGGUACCUUGGGAAGCUGGGUCUGUGACACCUGGGUCUGUGAUAGCUGGGUCUGUGACAGCCGACUUUGUGGACCCUGGUCCUCGGGGGCUGCUGCCUUGUCGGUACGGACCCAGGACUUGACCGAAUCGAUCAGGGUCCCAGACCUAAAGCAAAGUACGCUGGGGAAGGGUGGGGUGCAAUCGUGUAAGCAGGUUAGUUCUUGAGUGAGGGACACCCCUCCCAGCCUCCCUAUAUCUGAUCCUUUCUGUGACCCAAGCUUCGCCGCCCUGGGUAAGCACGCCCCUCUUUUCUAAGCCCCUCCCCCUAACACCUCCUCCUACCUUCGGACGUUGGAGACCCCGCCCCUCGCCCCAAGCCCCGCCUUCUCCGGGAGGCGGCUCACGAGGUGGCAAAGCCGAGGAUCAGAAACACAAAGCCCCAGAUCAGCAUCUCGAACAGAAAGCCUCUCAGCGCGUCCUUGGGAUUCGGACACUCUGACGGCUUGAGGGAUCGAAACCGCUGAUACUGGGUCCCGGGCUUUGAUUUCGGGAUCUCCUCAAUGACUCUUUUGGGCAACACUGACAGAGGAGAGAGAAGGGGCAGUGCUGGGAGGGCCGGUCGUGGCCCAGGCAAGCUCUGUCCACGCCACCCUUCCCCAGGACCCAGGCCUCCCAGGAGAUAAACACGCCCCUCACUGCCUGAAGCCAGGCCACUGUGAGAGGCGGCCGCACCCUGGGCAGGAAGCCACCCCCCGUUGGCCUGAAACCACACCCCGACAGAAAGUUAGGCCCCCCAGGGCGCUCGCUGAAGCUGACUGCCCCCCAUACCCAGGACCCUGAGUCCCAUACGUCUGCCGACCACCAGCUCUGACCUGUGACUUCAAAAUGGAUGACCGUGGCUGGGCCGGAUCGCUCAGUGCCCAACUCGCAGCGGUAGUUACCCGCAUCCUCUGGCCUCACCAGUCGCUUGAUCAGCGUGGGCCGUUUCCCCUCGGACACCAAGGUCUCAGAAUUGCUCCCCCAAACCUAGACCCAAGCUCAAGGGGUCACAGAGGCCUGGGGAAUUCAGGGUUUGGGGCCGUACAGGUGUGAGGGCAUCACGGGCUCUCAGUGGGGGAGAUGGGAGUCCAGGGUCACUGGUAAGGGCAUGGGGUCCCCGGGGAUCCGUAGAAGUCAAACCUGGUGGGUCAUGGGUCAUGGGGAUUGUGGCAACAAGCUUGUGGAUGAGGGGGUCGGCGCUCACACAAGCCUUAUGGACUUGGGGUUAAAGGGCCCACCCUGUAAAAGCUGUAAUAGGUCAGGCCUUGAGAUAAUUUAUGCCAGUCGAGCUCACAGUCCAGGAUCAGGUCUUCCGUUUCAUGGACGUUGAUUUGGCGCACUGGGGACAGGAUUUACGGUGGGACCCUUCUUCAAGGUUUUCCUGCCCUCCCGCCAGUGCCACCCACUUUGUCUAGGCCCCCCUUUCUGUCUCCACCCUCCGCUCCAGUCCCCGCCCUCUCUAGGCCAAGUCUCUCCUCUGGCUCCGCCCCUCCUGCGCCAACCCCUGCGGCUGGCCCCAGCUCUCUCACCCCCGCAAUCUCUGUAUUUUCGACAAACGUGAAGCUGCUUUUUACAGUUACUGCACCAGAUCAGAAGCUGCAACAUUGUACCUGAAGGGACAGGAUCCAGGCUGUAUUCGCCCUGAGAGGCGAGGCUAAAAGGAGAGGGCAGGGCCAAGUUCUGGGGCGGAGUCAGGCCCCUAAUCCCUAGAGGUCAGCCCAAGGGGCGGGGCUAGAAGGCAGUCCUCCCUGAAGAGGGGUGUAACCAAUCUCAGGAAAGAGCGCCCAGAGAAGGGGACCCGCUAUCCAGGAAGUCCGCUGUGCAGAAGGACUACUGGGGACCAGGAACCCCUCAGACGUGGGGAAGGAAGAACCACCGAGACCCAAAGCCGGAGGAGAAAGGCUGGGUAUUCACGGGGCAAGGAUGAAGGAUACAAAACCAGUUCCGGUAAUCCGGACUCACCACAUUUGUUGGGACAGAAAUCUGCCUCAGAAGGAAGAAAAAACAAAACAAAAACAAAAAAGGAUUAUCAGAUUCCUGUUAAUGGGAUGAGAGGGGGCGAAAAGGAAUAGGUUGGGGGUUGUGCUCUUGGGUUGGAGGGAAGAAGGACCCGGGUGUCUGAAUCUCUGGGUCCAAGGAAGGACCGGGUCGGGAGAGGUGAGUGGUUGGACAUAGAAAGCAGGGGGCUGGGGACAGGGUCCCUGGGCCUGUUGGGGGAAGGGGCCGUGGUCCCUGACGGAAGCCAUCUUCCCUCACCCUCUCUUUGGAAUCGAGUGACGUAGCCACGAAAGGCUGCCUUUUCCAGAGUCAACAUCCAGGAGAACUCCUUCACGAAAGUGUCAUCUGGGAAGGAGCAGGGUGACAUAGAGUGGUACCCCUCCCCCGCCCACCCCAGGAGGAGAUGCAGGAAGUUUGCCUCCAUCUGAAGAGGGUUAGGGUUUGGGGCCAUCUCAGGGAGGGACAGUGACAUUGAAUGACCACUUAACAAUGCGGGCCACUGAGCUAAGCGGCGCCUGGCCUGCAGGCACUGUUAGGACCCAUUUGAGAGGUGACAAAGUUGCAAAGUCCCUCCCUACAGGCCAUAGAGCUAGGGGAUGACCGGCCCGGAAUUUGAACCGAGGCAGGUGGCCUCCAGAGCCACCACCAGACCUGUCCUCACCAACAAUCAUUUCUCGAAAAGAUUCUGGAGCCCCUCCCGCGGCCCCUGUGUGGAUUUACCUGCUGCCCCACUGUUUCUGAUAAGUCUCACACUCCUCAGAAAACUCAAGACUGACGUUUCCAUCGUGGCCUCAUCUGGAGGGACACAGAGGAUGCGGGGAGGGGAGCUAGAACCUCAGAUUCCAAGCCUUGAGGUCUCUUGGCUCAGCAGGUGUUCAAAACUACAAUACCCAUGAGGCUACUGGACCAGCCCAGGGCUGUAAAUGGCUGGCACGCCCGCUGCCUUCUGGGAGUUGUAUUUUUUUUCCCCACAUAAAAUUGCCACGUAAGGACUAGGGGAAAGUGUAUUGGUCUGCCCUGGGGAAGGCCUGGAAUCUGCAUCCCAGCCUUCUCCAUUCACGAACCCAGUACAGUCUCCCUCCAGUCUUUCGCUUCCUUCCCUCCUGCCCGCUCCCGCAACCAUCCUAGAACGCAGACCCCUCUUUUCCCUCGACCCCUGGAUUCGCACUCUCUACCCUGCCCUCACCGAUAACCCCCAGAAAGGUAUCCUCUAAAUCUGGCAGGUCCCGGAAAUUCCUCACGGUUUGUCUUAUCUUUUCCAUCACUUCUCUGUGACGCUCGGGCGCCAGGUGGGUAGGCAGGUAUUCCUUUUCCAAGGCGUCCAGCGCGGCCACGACCCUUCGAUCGCAAGUGACACAGCUCCGGGCAAGAAGCAGGCAGCCGGCUAGCGCCACCACCAGGAGGGCAACUUGGGGACCCAUUUCCCCAGGGCGCUCAGCCCCAGCAGAACCCCGGGGAGGGUCCACCCACCCCACACGGAAGGGGUGAUCGCUGACCGGAAAGAACCUCUUCCCCGAGAGUAAGACCCCCCAAUUUGCAGGGCUCCCCCUUCUCGGUUAGGAAACCGAGGAGUCCGGAGUCCCGAUGCACCCUAGACAGCCGCUGCCCGACCUUGACCUUGAAUGUUGCACCCUGGAAUACUAGGGUUCGCUGAAGGGCCGAAUCCAGGCUGGGGGCCUUUAGAGGGGACGAUAGGGUCACGUCCUUCCACUCUAUUUGCCACGGCUAAAAUUGAGGACGUUUCUGGAGCGAAGGUGAGGUUGGUCACGUGACGUGGAGAGCUUUAUGACUGGAGUCAGACUCGAAGGUCGCCUCAAUCCCACAGAGUCCCUCUUCUUCCUUUCUCCUUGGGGCGCCGACUUCUCAAGAGACACUCUGGGCGAGUUUCCUUGGCCCCGCCCACAAACCCAACUCUGAGUCUGAUUGGACGGCAACAAAGGGAGGCCCCGCCUAUUGUUCCAGGAUCUCGCAGACCGACCCCUCUCUGACUAGAACUUUCAUCUGGGCCUCCCCGAUGAGGCCCUUGUGUGGUCGCGUUGGGGUGGAGGGGGCUGGGGUCAGACUAAGGAGUCUGGGUGGAGGAGAAAGAUGGGAGCUUAACUCCUGGGAACUGGCGUGGAAGAUGGCUGGGGACCGGCUCUUGGGUCUGACGCAGGAGGGGUGUGGACCCCUGGUCCCGCGGUUCUUACUCUGCUUCGGGUCCCCCCAGCACCUCGGCGCCCUGUCUUCGUUGACCCGGGACAGGAGGCGAGCCCCAGACCUCUCCUCUCGGAAAGCUAAAAUGAGGAUCAGACCCGAGGAAAUGAAUCCGGUAUUUAGGCAACCAGAUAAAUCUUUAUUUGUGA
This is a long non-coding RNA of Felis catus (domestic cat), 4916 nucleotides long. RefSeq lists it as uncharacterized. NCBI's taxonomy places the organism in Eukaryota, Metazoa, Chordata, Mammalia, Carnivora, Felidae. The record is from RefSeq and is a predicted model, not a curated record. The transcript is spliced from 3 exons.